AUUGAACGCUGGCGGAAUGCUUUACACAUGCAAGUCGAACGGCAGCACGGACUUCGGUCUGGUGGCGAGUGGCGAACGGGUGAGUAAUACAUCGGAACGUGCCCAAUCGUGGGGGAUAACGUAGCGAAAGCUACGCUAAUACCGCAUACGAUCUAAGGAUGAAAGCGGGGGAUCGCAAGACCUCGCGCGAUUGGAGCGGCCGAUGGCAGAUUAGGUAGUUGGUAGGGUAAAGGCCUACCAAGCCGACGAUCUGUAGCUGGUCUGAGAGGAUGAUCAGCCACACUGGGACUGAGACACGGCCCAGACGCCUACGGGAGGCAGCAGUGGGGAAUUUUAGACAAUGGACUCAAGUCUGAUCCAGCCAUUCCGCGUGCAGGAUGAAGGCCCUCGGGUUGUAAACUGCUUUUGUACAGAACGAAAAGGCUCUGGUUAAUACCUAGGGCGCAUGACGGUACUGUAAGAAUAAGCCCCCGCUAACUACGUGCCAGCCGCCGCAGUAA
Molecule: ribosomal RNA, 500 nt
Filed under: uncultured bacterium
Lineage: Bacteria
Description: partial 16S ribosomal RNA
Rfam family: Bacterial small subunit ribosomal RNA
Source: RNAcentral